AACGAACGCUGGCGGCAGGCCUAAUACAUGCAAGUCGAACGGAUGUAGCAAUACAUUAGUGGCGCACGGGUGCCUAACGCGUGGGAACAUACCCUUGAGUAAGGAAUAAUGUCUGGGAACGGACACUAAUACCUUAUAAUGACUUCGGUCCAAAGAUUCAUCGCUCAAGGAUUGGCCCGCGUCUGAUUAGCUAGUUGGUGAGGUAACGGCUCACCAAGGCGACGAUCAGUAGCUGGUCUGAGAGGAUGAUCAGCCACACUGGGACUGAGACACGGCCCAGACUCCUACGGGAGGCAGCAGUAAGGAAUAUUGGACAAUGGGGGAAACCUUGAUCCAGCCAUGCCGCGUGAGUGAAGAAGGCCUUAGGGUUGUAAAGCUCUUUCAAUAGUGAAGAUAAUGACGGUAGCUAUAGAAGAAGCCCCGGCUAAAUUCGUGCCAGCCGCCGCCGUAA
Molecule: ribosomal RNA, 451 nt
Filed under: uncultured bacterium
Lineage: Bacteria
Description: partial 16S ribosomal RNA
Rfam family: Bacterial small subunit ribosomal RNA
Source: RNAcentral